AGAAGCGACCGGGAGCGUGUGUGGUGCGCGCCUGCCUUGAGGCCAGGCCUCAGAGAAGGGUGUCCCAGAUGUAGGCAAAGCGUCCUCCAUGUGUUCCUGGAGGACCGUCCCAAGUCCUUCUCCAUUCUCCCAACCUCUUGGGCCUGGGAUGUCCUCCACCUUUUCAAUCUGAUUUGCUCUUUGCCAUGCAGACCUGUGGAUGAAGAGCCAGAGUCCUCCAAGGUGAAGCUGGACUGAAUAUUUCUGUCCAUAAGACUAUUAGAAUCCCCCAAAGUGGGAUACCAGUGAGGACCUCACCAGCAGCUGCUGUCUCUCCAAUGCAGAGCUUCCUGCCUCCUGCCCAGCCCCUGCUGUCAGAGAUACUUGGUGCUUCCAGUUCUGGAGACUUCCUUGAGUUCUGUGACUCAAAACAACUUCCUUCCCCUGUGGGCAUCAACAAUGAGAGAUCUUCAGAUGCGAUCAGGCACUCCAGUCCUUCCAUCUCCCACAAUGUUGGAGACCUGUGUUCCCUGCUGUAGAAACCUCUGCCAUUCCCUUUAUCUCUGAAGACAGAUGGACUUGACUGUCAGCUUAGCUUGGUUUCAGGAGGAAAGGAAGAUAAACCCCUGUGUUUAAGCUGCCGUGUUAAAUGGGAGGCACCUGGUCUUUUUUCUUUUUCUUUUUUAAAGACUGGGUCUCGCUCUGUUAUCCAAGCUGCAGUGCAGUGAUGUGAUCAUAGCUCACCUCAGCCUUGAACUCUCAGGCUCAAGCGAUCCUCCAGCCUCAGCCUCCUGAAUUGCUGGGAUUAUAGCACCUGGCCAAUUUUAAAAUCUUUCUGUAGCGACAGGAUCUCACUAUGUUGCCCAGGCUGGUCUUGAACCCCUGGCCUCAAGGAAUUCUCCCACAACCUCCCAAAGUGCUAAGAUUACAGGCAAGAGCCAUGGUGCCCAGCCACCUCUGGUCUUCCCUCAGUUUGCUUUCAUUAAAGGACAAAC
Molecule: long non-coding RNA, 974 nt
Filed under: Homo sapiens (human)
Lineage: Eukaryota; Metazoa; Chordata; Mammalia; Primates; Hominidae
Description: HSALNT0389007
Source: RNAcentral